AUAAUUUGUUAAUUAAAAUGUUAAUAAACUAACUUUUUCUUUUCCAUUCUUAGUCAGUUCUUCUAAAAAAGAAGCUUGAAGAACAUCUAGAGAAGCUGCAUGAAGCCAACAAUGAAUUGCAGAAAAAGAGAGCCAUUAUUGAAGAUCUUGAACCAAGAUUUAACAACAGCUCCUUAAGGAUUGAAGAAUUGCAAGAAGCUUUACAGAAGAAGGAAGAGGAAAUGAAGCAAAUGGAAGAACGGUAUAAAAAGUACUUAGAGAAGGCCAAAAGUGUUAUCCAUACUUUAGAUCCUAAACAGAACGAAGGGGCAGCACCAGAAAUACAAGCUCUUAAAAAUCAACUCCAGGAACGAGAUCGACUCUUCCAUUCAUUAGAAAAAGAAUAUGAGAAAACCAAGAGUCAAAGAGACAUGGAGGAGAAAUACAUCGUUAGUGCCUGGUACAAUAUGG
This is a long non-coding RNA of Nannospalax galili (Upper Galilee mountains blind mole rat), 450 nucleotides long. RefSeq lists it as uncharacterized. The record is from RefSeq and is a predicted model, not a curated record. Lineage: Eukaryota; Metazoa; Chordata; Mammalia; Rodentia; Spalacidae. The transcript is spliced from 5 exons.